CGGAGCGUAGCGCAGCCCGGUUAGCGCACCUGCUUUGGGAGCAGGGGGUCGGGAGUUCGAAUCUCCCCGCUCCGA
RNAcentral lists this transfer RNA (75 nucleotides) under Fidelibacterota bacterium. RNAcentral's name for it is "tRNA-Pro". It matches the Rfam family "tRNA". From Rfam's summary of the family: Transfer RNA (tRNA) molecules are approximately 80 nucleotides in length. Lineage: Bacteria; Pseudomonadati; Fidelibacterota. The record is from RNAcentral.